CUACAUGAAGCUGGAAUUGCUAGUAAUCACAGGUCAGCAUACUGUGGUGAAUACGUUCCCGGGCCUUGUACACACCGCCCGUCACACCAUGAGAGUUGAGAAUACCCGAAGCCCAUGUCAAAGUGGUCGAAGGUAGGCUUGAUGAUUGGGUGAAGUCGUAACAAGGUACC
RNAcentral lists this ribosomal RNA (170 nucleotides) under uncultured bacterium. RNAcentral's name for it is "partial 16S ribosomal RNA". It matches the Rfam family "Bacterial small subunit ribosomal RNA", at positions 1316 to 1500 of the family's 1533-position model. The record is from RNAcentral.